Molecule: ribosomal RNA, 789 nt
Filed under: Salmonella enterica subsp. enterica serovar Heidelberg
Lineage: Bacteria; Pseudomonadati; Pseudomonadota; Gammaproteobacteria; Enterobacterales; Enterobacteriaceae
Description: partial 23S ribosomal RNA
Rfam family: Bacterial large subunit ribosomal RNA
Source: RNAcentral
GGGUUGUGAGGUUAAGCGACUAAGCGUACACGGUGGAUGCCCUGGCAGUCAGAGGCGAUGAAGGGCGUGCUAAUCUGCGAUAAGCGCCGGUAAGGUGAUAUGAACCGUUAUAACCGGCGAUACCCGAAUGGGGAAACCCAGUGUGACUCGUCACACUAUCAUUAACUGAAUCCAUAGGUUAAUGAGGCGAACCGGGGGAACUGAAACAUCUAAGUACCCCGAGGAAAAGAAAUCAACCGAGAUUCCCCCAGUAGCGGCGAGCGAACGGGGAGGAGCCCAGAGCCUGAAUCAGCAUGUGUGUUAGUGGAAGCGUCUGGAAAGGCGCGCGAUACAGGGUGACAGCCCCGUACACAAAAGCGCAUGUGCUGUGAGCUCGAUGAGUAGGGCGGGACACGUGGUAUCCUGUCUGAAUAUGGGGGGACCAUCCUCCAAGGCUAAAUACUCCUGACUGACCGAUAGUGAACCAGUACCGUGAGGGAAAGGCGAAAAGAACCCCGGCGAGGGGAGUGAAAAAGAACCUGAAACCGUGUACGUACAAGCAGUGGGAGCCCCACCACUAAGCCAGUGGUGAACUCCACAUACGCAUCCUUUGCUGAGGAUACGGUUAACGGAGCGAAAGCGACGUUCAACCGCAAAAGAAGCAGAGGGGGCUUAGUGGUGGGGUGACUGCGUACCUUUUGUAUAAUGGGUCAGCGACUUAUAUUCUGUAGCAAGGUUAACCGUAUAGGGGAGCCGGAGGGAAACCGAGUCUUAACCGGGCGUUAAGUUGCAGGGUAUAGACCCGAAACC